CGGCGGAUGGGUGAGUAACACGUGGGUAACCUACCUACAAGCUUGGGAUAACUCGUGGAAACGCGAACUAAUACCAAAUGCGAUCUUUUACCUCCUGGUAAAAGAUUAAAAGACGGUUUCGGCUGUCACUUGUAGACGGGCCCGUGGCGCAUUAGCUAGUUGGUGAGAUAAAAGCUUACCAAGGCAACGAUGCGUAGCCGACCUGAGAGGGUGAUCGGCCACACUGGGACUGAGACACGGCCCAGACUCCUACGGGAGGCAGCAGUAGGGAAUCUUCCGCAAUGGACGAAAGUCUGACGGAGCGACGCCGCGUGAAUGAUGAAGAUCUUCGGAUCGUAAAAUUCUGUUGUUAGGGAUGAACAAGUGUGAGCGUAACUACUCACACCUUGACAGUACUUAACCAGAAAGCCCCGGCUAACUACGUGCCAGCAGCCGCGGUAAUACGUAGGGGGCGAGCGUUGUCCGGAAUUAUUGGGCGUAAA
RNAcentral lists this ribosomal RNA (482 nucleotides) under uncultured bacterium. RNAcentral's name for it is "bacterial SSU rRNA". It matches the Rfam family "Bacterial small subunit ribosomal RNA", at positions 96 to 564 of the family's 1533-position model. The record is from RNAcentral.